CAGCUAUCAAUCUCUUGGAAAAAGAGAAGCAAGAAGAGGAACAAAUCUCCUCCUGUCUUGAAGAAACAAUCAGUUAAUUACACAUGAAGAAAAGAAAGAAACGAAAGCCACCCAACGGAGCUAGCCAGGCCACCAAUGGAGCCGGAGCUGAGUCAGCUAGCACCCGGACUUCUUGGCCCGGAGGAUAGUGCACUUGGUCCGCUGGAACGCGGUGGCGGCGACGUCGGGGUCGACGAGCUGCAGCUGGAGCGGGCAGACGACGACGAGCGGGCACUUGGCGGACCGGCCCUUGUACUGGAGCACCGUGUCCAGCCGCAUCUCCACGCCGAAGCUGCCCGUGUCGUUCUCCGCCCGGAACUCGCCCACCCCGGGCCUGGUCAGCUUGAUGGGCUUGCCCACGCCGCCGACUCUCACGCUCAGCGUCGCCGUCUUCCGCGCCUUGUGCUUGAACCCCGGCACGGACGCGGAGUCAUCGAAGCGGGUGCCGUUGAAGGAGAAGGUCACGGCGAGCGCGCCGUACUCGAUGGCCCGGUACAUGUUGGGAUUCCGGAGCGACACCGUGGCGGUGACGUUGAAGGAGAUGGUGGAGUUGGACGCCGGGUCGGCGGGCGCCAGCGCGAACCGCUGCAGCACGGCGUCGUCGGCCGUGGCCUUGGGCGGGAACACCACGCCGAAGGCGAGCACCAGGACGGUGAUGAGGCCUCCCACGACGACGAUGGCGGCGGCCCAGAUGGCGAGCUGCGUCCAGCUGCAGUCGUCACAGCAGCCGUCGCCCUUGCCGCCGCACCAGCCCUCCCAGAACGCCAUGGCCGCCCGCGCUGCUCGGGUGUGGGGGUGGUCGGGUGGGGGACGCGGAUCUUGCGGGCCUCUGGCUGGCUAUCCAAGGCAACGGUGCUGCUUGGUGUUGAGAGAAUCAAUCGCCCUGCCUGCCACUCACCGAUUGUUAUUGUUGAAGAACGAAUAAAAGAGGGAGGGCCAGCCGGCCAGGGGACGACGACCAAGACUUGGUUGGGGUCAUCGCCGGACAAGGGACACGGAGGAAGGUCACACUCGGGGAAAUCAGCCACCCACCAAUCCGAAAUCUUGGAGAAAUGGAAGGGCAUUGCAAGUGAAAUUAAUCAGGAUUCAGGAGACGGGUUGUGUCGCUGGACGGAGAUGCUGCUCCACUUCCACCGGCCGCCGGCCGCUGGUUGGUGAGCUGGUGCACUUUACUGGGGGGAGAGCGCGCCAGCGCCCGUGCCAAAUCGGGUACAGUACUUAAGGCUUCUUUGGUUUGUGUCUAACUGUGCCCCACUUUGCCUAAGGUUAGUCGUUCGAAUUGAAUAACUAACCUUAGGCAGAAAAGUUAGGCAAAAUGUGGCAAUUGAGGCAACGAACCAAACAUGCCUUUACUCCGUUACAAAAUUAGUUGUCGUUCUCGAAAAAUC
This 1427-nucleotide unclassified non-coding RNA is filed under the name Zea mays. RNAcentral describes it as "misc RNA Zm00001eb063740". The record is from RNAcentral. Lineage: Eukaryota; Viridiplantae; Streptophyta; Magnoliopsida; Poales; Poaceae.